Molecule: long non-coding RNA, 2477 nt
Organism: Oreochromis niloticus (Nile tilapia)
Lineage: Eukaryota; Metazoa; Chordata; Actinopteri; Cichliformes; Cichlidae
Source: Ensembl
UGUGUGCAGCCAGACAUCAUGGCAGACUGCCAAAACUGAUUCCUAAGAAAAGGGGAGACCGUUGUGUGUCGUCAUAGUUUUACACCUGUUGAUCCACUUUCUGUGAGCCACACCUAGAACCUUCAAAUCCCUGCAGAUUUGUCAGCUGAUCAUGGCCUGUCCUGUGACUGGCUGAGCUUCAUGCUUGGAAAAGUUCUUUCACACUGUUCAUCCUGGAGCUGCUUUAUGUCCAUGAUCUGAAUGGAAACACAUCUGCAUCAUUGUAGCUACAGUGGAUGUUUCAGUGUCAGGACUGAAGGUGGAGCUUUGUGCGUGUUGGGCUGAGGCUGAAGCAGUCGCCCCCAACGGUAGCGCUCAGGUGUGAAACUACGAGGAAACUGAACAUACUCCUCUUUCCUCAGAAGUGAUCUAUGCGCGUCUGGACUUGUUUCCACUGAUCUGGUUUAACAAGGUGUGAAGCUGACCUCUGAGAUGUGACAGUGUGAGCAGUGUGAGAGUGUCAGCAGAUGAUCAGCAGAGGAAAGUGAGAGCUGCUGUGAGCUGAUGUCCUGAAGGGCUUUUAAAGAGCCUCUGAGUUUGACAGGAACAUGAAGAUGUUUGUGGUGUUUGUGAUCCUCCUGCACGGUAAGUACACUGCUCUGGCUGUGGUGGUGGAGGUGAAUGAGGGGGAAAGGUCUGUCCUGCUGUCCUGUCUAUACCCAGAUUAUAUACUUGAGGACAAUUCAACAGUGAUGUGGACUCGCAGUGACCUCAAUCCCAAAUCUGUCCACAUACGACGAGAAAUAGGAGACAAUCUUAGAGGACAAAACCAGCGUUACAGCAGACGCACAUCAAUGAAUCGUUACGCUUUCAUCAUUAAAGACUUCAGCCUCACUCUGAGGAAACCCACAACGACUGACAGCGGCGACUACACCUGCUCCAUCAGUGCUGGAGGAAAAGAACGGAGACUCAGAGACAUCCAGCUGCAGGUCAAAGAACAGCAAGUGGAGGUGAAGGUGGAGAAAGGGGUACAGUCUGUCAUCCUGCCCUGCAAAACAACACCUGACCUGCCUGAGGGCACCACAGUGGAGUGGACUCGCUCUGACCUCGGACUCAUCACAGUCCAUGAGUAUUCUAACAGAAAUGAUGAGCUCAUGACUCAGGAUGAAGUUUACAGAGACCGAACGAAGAUGAAUGAAGACCUGCUGAGAACUGGAGACCUCAGUCUGACCCUGAAACAGCCCACAGUGAGAGACACAGGAGGAUACAUCUGCACCAUCUACAGGGACAAAGACAUCCUGAGACAGAAAGUUGUACUGCAGGUCAAAAAACCAUUUCCAUCCUGGUUCAAAGAUCUUCUGGUUCUCCUGUUUGUCUUUGUGAUUUUUGGAGGUCUUUUAUAUUAUUUACGUCACUAUUACAUGUCAGAUUACCAGGUGGAGGUGGAUUCAGGGGUGGAGUCUGUAAAGCUGCCCUGCAAAACUAUAUUUAAAUUCCUAAAACACACUAAAGUGGAGUGGAGGGACAGAAACAACAGGAAGGUCCACGUGUAUCACAAUGGCUCUGACCAGGUUAGAGAACAGCACCGGUUUUACAGAAACCGAACAGAGAUGAAGAGGAAUUUACUGAAACCUGGAGACCUCAGUCUGACCCUGACGUAUCCCACUGAUGAUGACAACUCCACCUACACCUGCACCGUCUACAGCAGGAAGGGAAACAUACUGGCAACGAAAAAUGUGCAGCUCCAUGUCAGAGUCCCCCAGGUGGAGGUGGAUUCAGGGGAGGCAUCUGUCCUGCUGCCCUGCAAAACUACUAUAAACCUGCCUAAAGAUGCUAAAGUGGAGUGGAUGACCAAAUUCAACAGGAAGGUCCACGUGUAUGAGACCGGAUCUGACCAGCUUGAAGAUCAGGACAACUAUUACAGAGACCGAACACUGAUGAAUAAAGACCUGCUGAAAACUGGAGACCUCAGUCUGACCCUGAAAUACCCCACAGACUGGGACACAGACAUCUACACCUGCACCGUCUACAGCAGGGAGGGAAAAAAAAUCCUGAUGAAACAAGUGGAGCUGAAAGUCAGAGUCUGUCAGGUGGAGGUGGAGGAGGGGGCGGAGUCUGUAGAGCUACCUUUCAAAACCACACAAGACCUGCCUGCAGAUGCUAAAGUGGUGUGGUGGAACAAUGAUGACAGGAAGGUCCACAUGUAUAAGAACGGCUCUGAUCAGCCUGGAGAACAGCACCAGGUUUACAGAGACCGAACAAAGAUGAAGAGAAGAUCUCUGCUGAAGUCUGGAGACCUCAGUCUGACCCUGAAACAGCCCACAGAGAGAGACAGUGGGAGGUACAGCUGUAGAGUCUACGGGGAGAUCAAGAGAUACAAAAGAGUGCUGCUCAGAGUCAAAGGGAGAGUUCAGGUCCAGUAUCACACAGCAGACAUCAGGAACAGAAGCAGCUCCAUUGAUCUGACUCCUCUGAUGACUGAUCAAUCAGUUUGAUCU